CCUACGGGGGGCAGCAGUGAGGAAUAUUGGUCAAUGGGCGGAAGCCUGAACCAGCCAAGUAGCGUGCAGGAUGACGGCCCUACGGGUUGUAAACUGCUUUUAUACGGGAAUAAAGCGCCUUACGUGUAGGGCUUUGCAUGUACCGUAUGAAUAAGGACCGGCUAAUUCCGUGCCAGCAGCCGCGGUAAUACGGAAGGUCCGGGCGUUAUCCGGAUUUAUGGGGGUUAAAGGGAGCGUAGGGCGCAUGUCAAGCGUGCUGUGAAAUGUUCGGGCUAAACCCGGGUCUUGAAGCGCGAACUGGCGUGUUUGGGUCCGCGGAGAGAAGGCGGAAUUCGUGGUG
This 340-nucleotide ribosomal RNA is filed under the name uncultured bacterium. RNAcentral's name for it is "partial 16S ribosomal RNA". It matches the Rfam family "Bacterial small subunit ribosomal RNA", at positions 338 to 675 of the family's 1533-position model. The record is from RNAcentral.